CCUACGGGAGGCAGCAGUGGGGAAUAUUGCACAAUGGGGGAAACCCUGAUGCAGCGACGCCGCGAGAGUGAAGAAGUAUUUCGGUACGUAAAGCUCUAUCAGCAGGGAAGAAAAUGACGGUACCUGACUAAGAAGCCCCGGCUAACUACGUGCCAGCAGCCGCGGUAAUACGUAGGGGGCAAGCGUUAUCCGGAUUUACUGGGUGUAAAGGGAGCGUAGACGGCAGCGCAAGUCUGGAGUGAAAUCCCAUGGCUUAACCAUGGAACUGCUUUGGAAACUGUGCAGCUAGAGUGCAGGAGAGGUAAGCGGAAUUCCUAGUGUAGCGGUGAAAUGCGUAGAUAUUAGGAGGAACACCAGUGGCGAAGGCGGCUUACUGGACUGUAACUGACGUUGAGGCUCGAAAGCGUGGGGAGCAAACAGGAUUAGAUACCCCUGUAGUC
This 440-nucleotide ribosomal RNA is filed under the name uncultured bacterium. Its description in RNAcentral is "partial 16S ribosomal RNA". It matches the Rfam family "Bacterial small subunit ribosomal RNA", at positions 338 to 795 of the family's 1533-position model. The record is from RNAcentral.